Molecule: small nuclear RNA, 158 nt
Organism: Suncus etruscus (white-toothed pygmy shrew)
Lineage: Eukaryota; Metazoa; Chordata; Mammalia; Eulipotyphla; Soricidae
Product: U1 spliceosomal RNA
Exons: 1
Source: RefSeq, a predicted model, not a curated record
AUACUUAGAUGGCAAGGGAGACACCAUGAUUACAAAGGUGGUUUUCCCAGAGCAAGGCUAAGCCACUGCACUCUGGAUGCGCUGACCCCUGCAAUUUCCCCAAAUGUGGGAAGCUUAUAAUUUGUGGUAGUGUAGGACUGUGUCUGUGCUCUUCCCUA